RNAcentral lists this ribosomal RNA (492 nucleotides) under Nemobiinae sp. Com. RNAcentral's name for it is "partial 16S ribosomal RNA". It matches the Rfam family "Bacterial large subunit ribosomal RNA", at positions 1828 to 2582 of the family's 2925-position model. Lineage: Eukaryota; Metazoa; Arthropoda; Insecta; Orthoptera; Trigonidiidae. The record is from RNAcentral.
CUUUUAGAAAAAAAAAUUAAAAGUCGGACCUGCCCACUGAAAAUUUGAAGGGCCGCAGUAUAUUAACUGUGCAAAGGUAGCAUAAUCAUUAGUUUUUUAAUUGAAAACUGGAAUGAAUGGUUUGACGAGAUAUAAGCUGUCUUAUAAUGGAAAUUUGAAUUUUAUUUUUAAGUCAAAAAGCUUAAAUAGAAUUUGGGGACGAGAAGACCCUAUAGAUCUUAAUAUUAAAUAAAAGAAUUGAUUUUUAGGAAAUUUAAAUUAUUUAUUGUGUUUAAUAUUAUGUUGGGGUGACAUGGGAAUAUUUAAAACUUCUUUUAUAAUUAAACUAAAAUAAUAGAAAUGAAUGAUCCUUUAAUAUGGAAAUAAGAUGAAGAUACCUUAGGGAUAACAGCGUAAUUUUAUUAGAAAGUUCAUAUUAAUAAUGAAGUUUGCGACCUCGAUGUUGGAUUAAGAAUAUAAAUUGGUGCAGUGGCUAAUUUAAUAAGUCUGUUC